CGUAGUCUAUCGCUGCCUCAUCGAAUUCUCUACGGCAAUUGCGGAGUUUUAAUCAUGCAUUUAAAGAUCCGAGGACUACUCAUGCUUGGCCAGCGAGCAUGCGCUUAUCUCAAGAGGUGUUGCCGAGUCUGGCUCGUGGGCAACACAGUUUUUCUUCCUUCCGAGCCUUGCCGGUGAUGCUAUAUCAGCCACUUUCUUCGCAACCAACCUGAAU
This 214-nucleotide long non-coding RNA is filed under the name Eucalyptus grandis. Its description in RNAcentral is "long non-coding RNA (EGRA_LNC004437)". The record is from RNAcentral. Lineage: Eukaryota; Viridiplantae; Streptophyta; Magnoliopsida; Myrtales; Myrtaceae.